AACGAACGCUGGCGGCAGGCUUAACACAUGCAAGUCGAACGCCCUCUUCGGAGGGAGUGGCAGACGGGUGAGUAACGCGUGGGAACCUACCCAGUAGUACGGAAUAACUCAGGGAAACUUGUGCUAAUACCGUAUACGCCCUACGGGGGAAAGAGUUUAUCGCUAUUGGAUGGGCCCGCGUUGGAUUAGUUUGUUGGUGAGGUAAUGGCUCACCAAGGCGACGAUCAAUAGCUGGUCUGAGAGGAUGAUCAGCCACACUGGGACUGAGACACGGCCCAGACUCCUACGGGAGGCAGCAGUGGGGAAUAUUGGACAAUGGGCGCAAGCCUGAUCCAGCCAUGCCGCGUGAGUGAUGAAGGCCCUAGGGUUGUAAAGCUCUUUCAACGGUGAAGAUAAUGACGGUAACCGUAGAAGAAGCCCCGGCUAACUUCGUG
This 434-nucleotide ribosomal RNA is filed under the name uncultured bacterium. RNAcentral describes it as "bacterial SSU rRNA". It matches the Rfam family "Bacterial small subunit ribosomal RNA", at positions 29 to 507 of the family's 1533-position model. The record is from RNAcentral.